Molecule: long non-coding RNA, 31835 nt
Filed under: Triticum aestivum (bread wheat)
Lineage: Eukaryota; Viridiplantae; Streptophyta; Magnoliopsida; Poales; Poaceae
Description: long non-coding RNA (TAES_LNC005254)
Source: RNAcentral
UACUAGUAGAAUUUAUUUUUCUCCCGACACCAAUCAUUUAACAAUAGCAAAGCAUUCUCUUGAUACAGACAAGAAAGCAGCUCAAGUUCAUCAUCUUACUCCAAGAAGAUGAAGGGAAGAGGGGCAUGCAAACUUCAAAGAAUAACAAAUAUCUCUUCAUAUUAAGGCACAAAUCUCUCUUAUACUUUACAACAACGACGGCAACAAAUGUCCCAAUAGGCCAACACAGCAGCGGCAACAACCAAAGAAAUUUAACUAAUAAUAGUAGCAGCAGCAGUAUACUAGUGGCACCGCUUAAAGAACAGCACGAGAAGCAGCUUAUUUUUGAACUGAGAGGACGUGAUCUCUGGGCGCGGAUCCGAGGCUUAGCCGCGGCAGCGGGUGAUGCGGGAGCAUCCGCGGUGGUAGGGGUUGGCCUGGGCGCCGGGGCGGCAGUUGUAGUAGCUGGCGCCGCGGCGGUUGCAGGGGACGGUGCCCCUGCGCAGCGCGCCGUAGCUGAUGUAGCCGCGGCCCUGCAGCACGCGGCGGUGCGCCUCGGCCGACGCGGACCCGAGCUCCCCCUCCGCGUCCUCCCCGCCGCACUCGGCCACGGUGCCCCUGCACUCCCCGCGGCCAGCGCCGCCGGAGAGGAGGCCGAGCUGCAGGUGGUCCCCGCCGGCGAUGGACGAGGCGGAGGCGGACAGCGCGACGGCGAGCACCAGGAGGAGCAGCACGAGGCUCCUAACGCCGGCCAUGGCGCGGCGGCGGCGAGGGGUAGCGGGCGAGAAUGAAUGCGCGUGGGGGAGGGGAGCGCACAGCGAAGCCUUAGCUGGCGCGGUGUGACGAGAGGAGGGGAGGGGAGAGGAGAGGAGGGAGGUGGGCGAGAGGGAUAAAGUGGGAAGAGGCUGGGGAGCGGCGGGGGUGGGACUGGUGAAAUAGAAAGGGGUCCCAACCCCCGAGCCAAAUAAUAAAGACGCGGAGCGGAGCGGGGCGGAGGAGAACGGUAGCGCGGCGCGAUGCGGCCGCGUUGCGACUGGAUUCGGCGCGGUGCGGUGCGCAACAACUGGACACAACUCAUGUGACGAGGAGGAGGAAGCGUGUCGUCGGAGACAAUGGCCAUGUGCAGCCAGGCAAUGGACGAUGAGACGAACCGCGUGGUCGUAAUAGCGGUAUGUGAUCGGCGCAAAGCUCGCUGGAUGAUUAAAACCUGACUAUAAUGGGACGAGAGCUGUGGGAACAUGGAGGAUCGUGGGACGGUGGCAGCUUUUCAGGUGGGCUUUCCUGUGGUGUUCGGCCACUGUCUGUUGGCUUGCUAAAUUUGUAAAGUUACCACGAGAUGAUGGUGCCCUUUUAUGAUAUUACUCCAUUAUUGAGCGAAUUUUAAGGGUAGACGGUGUAUUGGAAAGGAGAGGGAUGUUUGUGUUAUGGUAAAAUUUCGUUUAAAAUUGUACUGACAAUGGCCAUCGCUGCAAAAUCUGGACCUAUUCUGUGGAUUUACAAAGUUGUGCUAUACGUGCAACUCUCGCGUCCCUUCCCUUGCAUAGCACGCAGUUAUCCAGACAUCCAAGCUCUUUGUCACUGACCCUCUUUCCCUUACAAGGGCAGCAACUCUUUGCAAUGCUAGUACGUGGUUUUGGCAUACCAACAAUUCAACAUACUACGUGCUUACAUUCUGGUCUUCUGUUCAUCUCUGGUUUUCCCUCAACGUGCUAACCUCGACAGCACUCAUGCAUUUCAGAUUGAAUAUGAGGCCGGUCAUCCUUUGGCCAUUCCUUCUUAAUUUCUCAUAGUAUCUUCUUUCUCCUACGAAUUUCUUGUUUUUCUUUAGUUUUGAUUGCAUAUGGUCAACUUGCCGAUGGAUAGUCCGUCUUAGGGGGUGUUUGUUUCCAGGGACUUUUUUGUGUAGGGACUAGAAAAAGUCCCUUUUAGAGACUUUUUUACCAAACGGGAGAGACUUUUUAGAGACUAAACUAGGCAUUUGGGACUAAAUGAAGAAGACUCUCAAGGAGAGUCUUUUUGGGACUUUUUGGAACUUUUCCAACAAUGCCCCUCCAUGCACUUAUUGACCCGCCAUCCCAUGGUGUGGUUUGAUUGUUAUUUUUCUAUAUACUAGGGGCAACAUGUUCAUUUAAUAACCUCUAGAAAGGGACUAAGGACUUUUUAGUCUCUGAAAACAAACAGGGAGGGACUUUUUAGGGACUAGGGACUUUUUAGUUGAGACUAGAAAAAGUCGUAAGACUACAGAACCAAACACCACCUUAGUAUGAAGCCAUAUACGAAUUAAAUACUCGAUGAAGUUUUCUUCUUUUUAAAAAAGAAUGGCACUUUAGGGGACCUCCUUGGUACAAAGAAAAUUCAUGAGAUUAUUGUAGGAUUCUAUCUUUUAGGAAUUUUUCCUAUGUGAUGCGUUUUUUUCUUACUAAAUUAUAUAUUCAACAGAGUCCGGCAAAACAAAUACAUGAAUCAAUCCAAAACCAUCUUCCUGGACAUCUCUAUCGCUACAUCUAUAAGUUUGAUGAUGAGUCCUAACCUUGCGCCAAGGCAUAUCAUCUAAUAUGAUGGCCUUCAUCAAGCGACCCCAUAGAGAGCCGAUAGCACCAACCGGUUUACAGGACUCUCAACAUGCACUGCAUGCGCACGAUCUAGAAUCCAUCGCAGUCAUCUUCCAUUGUUCCACUUCAGGAAAGACCAACGACCUUGCUAGACCCAAUUGUCGUCGACGCCACCACGGCGCGAGACAACGCCAUCAUUGUGCCCACCACCGCAACGUAUAGGCGGUCCGACACCAUGUCCAGCAGCUUCCUGACCAUUGUCGCGUCGUCGGCGUCGUCCCGAGCCCGCAUAGUGUGCCGCCAUGCCUCCGAUUCUGCCGGCGUAUGCAUCCAGUGACUCGCCGUCUGCCAUGCGCAGCCGACUGAAGUCGCAGCGGAGCGUGGACAGCCGAGCCACCCUGACCCAAUCCACACCAAGGAAUCGUGCCUUGAGGCUCGUCCACAGCUCCGAUGUCGCCUCCUUCGACGACACCUGCAACAGAAUGUCCUCGGCGAGCGCUCCGAGUAGGUAAGCCCUCGUCGUCUUGUUCUUCUUCGGGUCGACCGCCAUCGUCGCGUCCGUCGGAGCCACCGCCCCCUACAGCCCAUGCGCGUCGAGGUUGGCCUCGACCUUGAUCGCCCACAUAGUGUAGUUGUCACCGAUGAGCGUCGGACACUCCAGGGACAACACGCUCCCUGCUUCGCCGCCGUACGGCACGAGCGACAUCGAUGGCGAUCAACAUCGAACUUUCGGUCUCACUAGUAGUAGAGGAGCGUCUAAGUGGCAAUACGAAAGAGAGUAAAUACUAAACAAAGCCACAAAGACUAGUUGUGCAUACUAGAUCAUACCUCAACCUAGAACCGGAUCAAUUACUCAAACAUGGAUGAAUAGACACACAAAGAGGAAUGAUUUGUAGCUGCCAUCAACAUGUUCAAUCUUACAAAAUACAUGUGCGAGGACGGAGAUGGAGAUGGGUAUCGACACGCCCUGCCUAUGCCCAGUGCUCUGUGAUGGCGGCGGAGCCUUCUCCUCCUCUUGUGUGGCCUUUGUGGAGAUGGUGAUGGAGGGAGAGGCCUCCCUCUAGAUGAGAUGGGAGAGCCUCCUGGUGACUGUGCGAACUUGUGGUGGAAUGAGGAUGAUGAUCCCGACAGCUAGGAUUGGAGCUCUUCAUAUAGGAGGCCUCUUCGGGUCUCCUCCAUUGAUGUAGCCUCCUCACUUUCAUCCACGGGCUCUAGGGGGGUCAAAUCCCUGCACAAAUGAUGCCUUAUGUGCCAAGGAUCCCGCAGGAACAAACCGGGACGAAACCAGAGCAAGAUCGGGAAGGUUAUGGCCAAUUUAUGAAGCUGUCUGGAGAUCAUACGAGCUCCCAUACGAGCAGCUAUGCUCGCAUGGAAGGCAGUCAUACGUUCUCGACUCAGGGAGCACUUCCGUAUUUUUGGUCGCCAUUUCGUCAUACGAACUCCGGGUUUGACGUUCCUGGGCUCGUUGGAUUCCUAGCAAAAAUCCUAACGCAUUUGUGGCCUUGGAUAUUCAAUUUGGACACUUUAAUAAAUUUCAAAAUAUCAAAUACUCCAUAGGGCCUUCGUCUGAUGCCUGGAACUUCUUCGAUUUAACUCCCAACUUGUUUUUUAUGUGUCAAGUCCAUGGACACGCCAGUACACCUACCGAACUUCUUCAGUUUAACUCCCAACUUGGUUUUUUUGAUGUGCCAAGUCCAUGGACAUGCCAAUACACCAACAAAGACCACAAAAAAUAGUAAAACUAAUUAAAAACUAAAUAAAAAUAAAAGUUGUGCAAUGAACUUGGUAAAAUGAGUAAACACCAAAAAUUAUGCAUUGGGGGCAUGUAUAAGUGCUACAUGGAUAUGAUAUGAGAGAUUUUGGCACUAAAAUACACUCUAAAAUUAUGCACAAAAUCCACUCAUCAUCUACUAAUUAUCAUCUUGUUGUGAUUACAAAGGUAAGUUUAAUCAGUGUUUUCAUAUGGACCACUUUAUUUUUCAUUGGGUUCAUACCGUAUCCAAUGCACCAGGUGAUAUCGUUGGAUGAGAGAAUCAUGACGUAAUGAUUGUCAACUUGUUGUGAUUACAAAGCUAAGUUUCAUCAAUGUUUUGUAUAUGUGUGCCGUCUUAUCAUCCUAAUGACUGAUCUUGAUGGACUCGUGAGGUUCCUGCAAUGAAAUACUCCCUUCGUUCCACAAUGUAGAAAAACAUUUAUAUUUAGAACCUCGCAAACUUUGGCAAAUUUCUAGAGAAAAAUAUUUACAUUUAGAAUGCCAUGAAUAUAUCAUUAGAUUCAUUAUAAUAAGUAGUUCCACAUUUAUAUAUUUGGUAUUAUAGAUAUAAAUAGUUUUGUCAAUAAAUUUGGUCAAAGUUUGCAAAGUUUCUGGAGGAAAUGGUAAGAAAUGAAAUAUUAAACCUUCUGGAGGCAGUUAUAAUCCUAUAGCUGAUAGUAGAUGGGUAGGUCUUGUUCAUUGUGUUCCUAAGAAAGGUGGCAUUACUGUUAUUCCUAAUGAUAAAAAGGAACUUAUCCCACAUAGAGUUGUUACUAGUUAUAGGAUGGUUAUUGAUUUUAUAAAAUUAAAUAAAGCUACUAGGAAGGAUCAUUAUCCUUUGCCUAUUAUUAAUCAAAUGCUAAAAAGAUUAUCUAAACAUACACACUUAUCCUUUCUAGAUGGUUAUUCUAGUUUCUCUCAAAUACCUAUUCAUCCUGAUGAUCAAGAGAAAACCACUUUUACUUGUCCUUUUGGAACUCAUGCUUAUAGACAUAUGCCUUGGUUUAUGCAAUGCACCUACUACCUUUCAAACAUGCAUAAGCACAACUGUCAUAUUUUUGAUUUCUGCAAUAAAAUUGUUGAAGUUUUCAUGGACAAUUCUCCAUCAAUGUGACUUAUUUUGAUGAUUGCAUGCACAAUCUUAACAAAGUCUUGCAGAUAUGUGAGGAAACUUAUCUUGUCUUGGACUGGGAGAUGUGCCACUUCAUGGUAAAUGAAGCUAUAGUCCUUGGUCAUAAUUUUUUUGAAAGAGGCAUCAAGGUCGAUAAAGCAAAGGUAGAUGAUAUUGAGAAAAUUUCAUGCCCUAGAGAUAUUAAAGGUAUAGGAAGUUUUCUUGGUCGUGUUAGUUUCUAUAAAAGGUUCAUUAAGGACAUUUCUAAAAUUUCUAGGCCUCUUACCCAUAUUUUACAAAAAAUAUGUUACAUUUGUUUUUGAUGAUGAUUGUAGAGAUGCCUCUGGAAUUCUUAAGAAAUCUUUCAUUACUGAUCCUAUUGUUCAAUCACCUGACUGGAAUUUACCUUUAGAAAUUGUGUGUGAUGCUAGUGACUAUGUUGUAGGGGUUGUCCUUGGUUAAAGAAUUGAUAAGAAAUGGAGUGCUAUUCAUUAUGCUAGCAAGACUCUGGACAAUGCCCAAAGAAAUUAUGCUACUACUGAGAAAGAAUAUUUAGCACUUGUCUUUGCUUGUAAUAAGUUUGGCCCUUACAUUGUUGAUUCUAAAGUAACCAUUCACACUGAUCAUGCUGCUAUUAAAUAUCUUAUGGAUGCUCAGCCUAGACUAAUUAGAUGAGUUCUUUUAUUACAAGAGUUUUAUUUGCAUAUUGUUGAUAGAAAGGGAGAUGAACAUCCUGUAACUGAUAUUUUUUCUAGGAAGGAAAAAAUAAUUGAUGAUCUUAUUCCUGUUAAUGAUAGUUUUCCGGAUGAGAAAUUAGUUGUUAGUAAUGCUUCCUCUCGUGAAAAUCCCUGGUAUGCUGAUUAUGCAAACUAUAUUGUUGCCAAAUACUUGCCACCUAACUUUACCUAUCAAAAAAUAAAAAAUCUUCUUUGAUUUAAGACAAUACUUUUGGGAUGACCCACAUUUGUAAAGAAAGAGUAGAUGGUAUUAGACAUUGUAUAACUAAGAAUGAGUAGGAACAAAUCUUGAGGAAGUGUCACUCCAGUCCAUAUUGAGGGCACCACGCUGGAGACAGAACUUCACAUAAGGUAUUACAAUCCAAUUUCUAUUGGCCUACCCUCUUUAAAGAUGCAAGUAAGUUUAUCCUAUCUUGUGAUGAGUGUCAAAGAGUUGGCAAUAUUGGUAGAUUUAAAGAAAUUCCUAUGAACUAUUCACUUGCUAUUAAACCUUUUAAUGUCUGGGGUUUUGAUUAUAUGGGACAUUUUCCUUCCUCGUAUAGUAAUACUCAUAUUUUAGUUGCUAUUAUGUCAUGUAUUGGGUAGAGGCUAUUCCAACUAAAAGUGUUGAUCCUAAUACUUCUAUUAAAAUGCUUAAAGAUGUUAUCUUUUUGAGCUUUAGUAUCCCUAGAUAUCUUAGGACUGAUGGUGGUUCACAUUUAAUUCAUGAUGCUUUCAGAAAAGUUGUGGCUAAAUAUGAUGUAAACCAUAGAGUAGCUUCACCUUAUCAUCCUUGGUCUAGUGGGCAAGUAGAAUUAAAAAACAAAGAGAUCAAACUAAUUUUGGAAAAUAUUUUUAAUAAAUCUAGAAAGAUUUGCUCUAAGAAACAAGAUGUUGCACUCUGGAUUAUAGAACUGCUUAUAAAAAUCCUACGAGAAUGUCCCCUAUAUGAUGGUUUGUGCAAAAGCAUGUCAUCUACCUUUUGAGUUAGAACAUAAAAGCUUAUUGGGCAAUUAAGGAAAUUAAUUAUGAUUUUGAACUUGCUGGAGAAAAUAGGCUACUUCACAUGAGUUCUUUGAGUGCAGAAUUGAAGCUUGUGAAGAUGCCAAGUUGUUCAAAGAAAAAUUUAAAAUAUGGUAUGAUAAAAGAAUUUAGAAAUGAGAGUUUAAUAUUGGUGAUAAACUCUUUUGUACAAGUCUCAUUCAGUCAUUUUGCAGGCAAACUUCUUUCCAAGUGGGAAGGACCCUACAUCAGGAAGAAGUUUACUGAUCCAGAGCUAUCAAAAUCUAUAAGACCAAAGGUAAUAAACUAAGGGUAGUUAAUGGGCAAAGAAUUAAGCAUUAUAUUUUCAGUAACCCCUUCGAGGUAGGUACGGACAUUAUACAAGCAAUCACACUGGAAGAAUACAUAAAAAACUUUUUGAAAGACUCCAAAAUCCUAAAAAGGAAGAGGUAUGUGAUACGGUAAGUAAACUGACUCUAAAAAUUUAUGACAGUGAGGUAAGCAUAAUGUGAUGACACCAUGAAUUUCUUGAGCAUCGGGUGCCCAGGAUGACAUUGUAUGGCAGGUUCAGCGCCGCGACAUGAAGACUAUGCUCUCUGUUCGAUAAUUAUCUUUGGUGUCGAAGGUGACCAUCAAGGACACGUGCCCGAUCGGCACAUUAAUCUCUAGGGGUAGCACCGAAGGAUUUGUCAGCUCCAAGCAUCCCAAGGAACUUGCAUCUUCUCAAAUAUUGCCCGGGGAGGGGGGUAUUGAGGCCUCAACCCCCGCCCACCAACAUGUUGGUGACCUUGAUGUUGCAGAUCGUUGUAGAAACCACCAAUGGAAGGUAUUCGAUGCCCAUCAUGCUCCUAGGGUGGUCUUUUUGGUUGAAUGUUAUAUGUGUUUCUGACCAUCUAAGCGGUCGAGAUGCGUCGAUGCUCGGGGCAUGACAUUAACCUCUAACGCCAACAAAUUGAAUUAUCUGGCAUAAAGUAGGCAUGAAGGCGUCAUUAUGUCUGCACACGACGAUCCUAGGACUUAGGUGAUACGUCUCCAACGUAUCUAUAAUUUUUGAUUGUUCCAUGAUGUUAUAUUAUCAAUCUUGGACGUUUUAUAAUAAUUUUAUAGUCAUUUUAUAUCAUUUUUUGGUACUAACCUAUUGACAUAGUGCCAAGUGCCAGUUGUUCUUUUUCCAUGUUUUUUACAUCGCAUAAAAUCAAUAUCAAAUGGAUUCCAAAUACCACGAAACUUUAUGGUGAUUUUUGAUGGACUAGAAGGAACGUAAUGGGCCCUGGCUGCGCCUGGGGGUGCCCCGAGGAGAGCACAACCCACCAGGGCGAGCCAGGAGGCCCAGGCGCGCACUGGUGGGUUGUUCCCACCUCGGGUGCCCCCCGAACCGCCUCUUUGCUCUAUAAGUACCCCAAUAUUCCAAAAACCCUAGGGGAGUCGACGAAAUAUUCAUCCAGCCGCCGGAAAGUCCAGAACCACCAGAUCCAAUCUAGACACCAUCUCGGAUGGGGUUCACCACCUCCAUUGGUGCCUCUCCGAUGAUGUGUGAGUAGUUCUUUAUAGAACUUCGGGUCCGUAGUUAGUAGCUAGAUGGCUUCCUCUCUCUCUCUCUCUCGAUUCUCAAUACAAUGGUCUCUUGGAGAUCCAUAUGAUGUAACUCUUUUUGCGGUGUAUUUGUUGGGAUCGAUGAACUUUGAGUUUAUGAUUAGAUGUAUCUUUUCAUAUCCAUGAAAGUAUUUGAGUUUCUUUGAUCUCUUUUAUGCAUGAUCUCUUAUAGCCUCAUAUUUCUACUUUGAUAUUUGGGUUUUGUUUGUCCAACUUGAUCUAUUUAUCUUGCAAUGGGAAGAGGUGCUUUGUAGUGGGUUCGAUCUUAUGGUGCUUGAUCCCAGUGACAGAAAGGGAACCGACACGUAUGUAUCAUUGCUACUAAGGAUAAAACGAUGGGGUCUAUCUCUACAUAGAUAGAUCUUGUCUACAUCAUGCCAUUAUUCUCAUUGCAUUACUCCGUUCUCCAUGAACUUAAUACACUAGAAGCAUGCUGGAUAGCGGUCAAUGUGUGGAGUACUAGUAGUAGAUGCAGGCAGGAGUCAGUCUACUAAUCUUGGACGUGAUGCCUACGUAAUGAUCAUUGCUAUCUUGAGAGAAGCCACUAGUGAAACCUAUGGCCCCCGGGUCUAUUUUCCAUAUACAAGUUUCCAAUCUAUUUUAUUUUUCAAUCUUUACUUUCAAUCUAUAUCAUAAAAAUACCAAAAAUAUUUAUCUUAUUAUUAUUAUUAUCUCUAUCAGAUCUCACUCUUGCAAGUGGCCGUGAAGGGAUUGACAACCCCUUUAUCGCGUUGGUUGCGAGGUUCUUAUUUGUUUGUGUAGGUAAGAGGUGACUCGCGCGUGGUCUCCUACUAGAUUGAUACCUUGGUUCUCAAAAACCGAGGCAAAUACUUACGCUGCUUUACUGCAUCACCCUUUCCUCUCCAAGGGAAAACCAAUGCAGUGCUCAAGCUCAUGUCAAUGGCAUAAUCAACUAGCGAGCAAUAAUAAUAAAUCUCGGAUGACAACACUUUUUCAAAACAAUCAUGAUAUAAUAUGGCAAAAUGGUAUCUCGCUAGCCCUUUCUGAGACCGCAAAACAUAAAUGCAGAGCACCAUGAAGAUCAAGGACUGACUAGACAUUAUAAUUCAUGGCAAAAGAGAUCGAGUCAGACUCAUACUCAAUAUCAAUUAAUAACAAAGCAUAUGAAUGACAGUGGUGCUCUCUAACUAGUGCUUUUUAUAAGAAGGUGAUGACUCAACAAAAAAAGUAAAUAGAUAGGCCCUUCGUAGAGGGAAGCAGGGAAUUGCAGAGGUGCCAGAGCUUGAGCUUUUAAAACAGAGAUGAAUAUAAUUUUGAGCGGUAUGCUUUCAUUGUCAACAUAACAACCAAGAUAUCUUGGUAUCUUCCAUGCUAGAUACAUUAUAGGCUGUUUCCAAAUAGAAAGGUAAAGUUUUUACUCCCCCUCCACCAACAAACACACUCCAUGGCUAACCGAAUCCAUGGCUACCGUCCAUACCAACAACAGUCCUGGGGCAGUUUUGUUUUAUAUUUAUAUUUUGAUUUGAUUCCGAGCAUUGAACUGGGCAUCCCGAUUACUAGCCAUUUUCUUGUGAAUGACAAGUGAAUAAACACUCAUCGUGAGAAUAACCCACCUAGCAUGGAAGAUACUGACAGCCCCCAAUCGCUAUAUGAGCGAUUCGGGCAUACAAAACAGAUUAUCAUUUGAAGGUUUAGAGUUUGGCACAUGCAAAUUUACUUGGAACGGCAGGAAAAUACCGCAUAUAGGUAGGUACGGUGGACUCAUAUGGAACACCUUUGGGUUUAAGGAAGUGGAUGCACAAGCAGUAUUCCUGCUUAGUACAAGUGAAGGCUAGCAAAAGAUUGAGGAGCGACCAACUAGAGAGCGACAACGGUCAUAAACAUGCAUUGAGAUUAACCAACAUUGAGUGCAAGCAUGAGUAGGACAUAAAUCACCAUGAACAUAAAUAUCGUAGAGGAUAUGUUGUUUUUUGUUUCAACUACAUGUGUGAACAUGUGCCAAGUCAAGCCACUCGAAUCAUUCAAAGGAGGAUACCAUCCUAUCAUACUACAUCACAACCAUUUUAAAAGCAUGUUGGCAAGCAAGGUAAAUCAUUAUCAACUCCUAGCUAAUUAAGCAUGGCAUGAGUAACUAUAAUCUCCAAUUGUCAUUGCAAACAUGUUUCAUUCAUAAUGGGCUGAAUCAAGAAAGAUGUGUUGGGUUUCGUAGUAAUUUCAAAAAAUUUCCUACGCACACGCAAGAUCAUGUGAUGCAUAGCAACGAGAGGGGAGAAUGCUGUCUAUGUACCCACGCAGACCGACUGCGGAAGCGUUGACACAACAUAGAGGAAGUAGUCGUAUGUCUUCACGAUCCAACCGAUCAAGCACCGAAACUACGGCACCUCCGAGUUCGAGCACACGUUCAGCUCGAUGACGAUCCCCAGACUCCGAUCCAGCAAAGUGUCGGGGAAGAGUUCCGUCAGCACGACGGCGUGGUGACGAUCUUGAUGUACUACAGCAGCAGGGCUUCACCUAAACUCCGCUACAGUAUUAUUGAGGACUAUGGUGGCUGGGGGCACCGCACACGGCUAAGGAAUAGAUCACGUGGAUCAACUUGUGUUUCUUGAUCUGUCUUUGGUGCUAGCCCUGCCCCUCUAUUUAUAUCUUGAGCCCUGGGGUCGAAACUUGGAGUUAAAGCCUUCACAAAGUCGGUUUCACCCGAUAGGCAAGAGUCCUUCUCGGACUCCAGGGCCAGACGCCAGGGAUCCCGGCGUCUGGACCCAGACGCCAGGGACCCUGGCGUCUGGCCCCUGGACUCCGCAAAACUUCCUUUUGCGCUUUCCAAAUACCUUGUGGGCUUUCCCCUUUGGCCCAAAUAAAGUGUUCUCGUACCCAAACAUUUCGGGAAACAUCCGGAACCCCUUCCGGUGAUUUCCGGAACCCUUCCGGUGACCAAACACUAUUAUCAUAUAUAUCAAACUUUAUCUCCGGACCAUUCCGGAGUUCCUCAUCAUGUCCGUGAUCUCAUCUCGGACUCCGAACAACAUUCGGUACAUCAAAAUGCAUUAAACUCAUAACAACUAUCAUCGUAACUUUAAGCGUGCGGACCCUACGGGUUCGAGAACAAUGUAGACAUGACCAAGACACGUCUCCGGUCAAUAACCAAUAGCGGGACCUGGAUGCCCAUAUUGGCUCCUACAUAUUCUACGAAGAUCUUUAUCGGUCAGACCGCAUAACAACAUACGUUGUUCCCUUUGUCAUCGGUAUGUUACUUGCCCGAGAUUCGAUCGUCGGUAUCCAAUACCUAGUUCAAUCUCGUUACCGACAAGUCUCUUUACUCGUUCCGUAAUACAUCAUCUCACAACUAACAUAUUAGUUGUAAUGCUUGCAAGGCUUAUGUGAUGUGCAUUACCGAGAGGGCCUAGAGAUACCUCUCUGACAAUCGGAGUGACAAAUCCUAAUCUCGAAAUAUGCCAACCCAACAUCUACCUUUGGAGACACCUGUAAUGCUCCUUUAUAAUCACCCAUUUACGUUGUGACGUUUGGUAGCACCCAAAGUGUUCCUCCGGUAAACGGGAGUUGCAUAAUCUCAUAGUUAUAGGAACAUGUAUAAGUCAUGAAGAAAGCAAUAGCAACAUACUAAACGAUCGGGUGCUAAGCUAAUGGAAUGGGUCAUGUCAAUCAGAUCAUUCUCUUAAUGAUGUGAUCCCGUUAAUCAAAUAACAACUCAUUGUUCAUGGUUAGGAAACAUAACCAUCUUUGAUUAACGAGCUAGUCAAGUAGAGGCAUACUAGUGACACUUUGUUUGUCUAUGUAUUCACACAUGUAUUAUGUUUCCGGUUAAUACAAUUCUAGCAUGAAUAAUAAACAUUUAUCAUGAUUAUAAGGAAAUAAAUAAUAACUUUAUUAUUGCCUCUAGGGCAUAUUUCCUUCAGUCUCCCACUUGCACUAGAGUCAAUAAUCAAGUUCACAUCGCCAUGUGAUUUAACAGCAAUAGUUCACAUCACCAUGUGAUUAACACCCAUAGUUCACAUCGAUAUGUGAUCAACACCCAAAGGGUUUUACUAGAGUCAGUAAUCUAGUUCACAUCGCUAUGUGAUUAACACCCAAAGAGUACUAAGGUGUGAUCAUGUUUUGCUUGUGAGAUAAUUUUAGUCAACGGGUCUGUCACAUUUAGAUCCGUAAGUAUUUUGCAAAUAUUUAUGUCAACAAUGCUCUGCACGGAGCUACUCUAGCUAAUUGCUCCCACUUUCAAUAUGUAUCUAGAUCGAGACUUAGAGUCAUCCAGAUCUGUGUCAAAACUUGCAUCGACGUAACCUUUUACGACGAACCUUUUUGUUCACCUCCAUAAUUGAGAAAUAUUUCCUUAUUCCACUAAGGAUAAUUUUGACCGCUGUCCAGUGAUCUACUCUUAGAUCACUAUUGUACUCCCUUGCUUAAAAUAGUGUAGGGUAUACAAUAGAUCUGGUACACAGCAUGGCAUACUUUAUAGAACCUAUGGCUGAGGCAUAGGGAAUGACUUUCAUUCUCUUUCUAUCUUCUGCCGUGGUCGGGCUUUGAGUCUUACUCAACUUCACACCUUGUAAUACAGGCAAGAACUCUUUCUUUGACUGCUCCAUUUUGAACUACUUCAAAAUCUUGUCAAGGUAUGUACUUAUUGAAAAAACUUAUCAAGUGUCUUGAUCUAUCUCUAUAGAUCUUGAUGCUCAAUAUGUAAGCAGCUUCACCGAAGUCUUUCUUUGAAAAACUCCUUUCAAACACUCCUUUAUGCUUUACAGAAUAAUUCUACAUUAUUUCCGAUCAACAAUACGUCAUACACAUAUACUUAUCAGAAAUGUUGUAGUGCUCCCACUCACUUUCUUGUAAAUACAGGCUUCACCGCAAGUCUGUAUAAAACUAUAUUCUUUGAUCAACUUAUCAAAACGUAUAUUCCAACUCCGAGAUGCUUGCACCAGUCCAUAGAUGGAUCGCUGGAGCUUGCAUAUUUUGUUAGCACCUUUGGGAUUGACAAAACCUUCUGGUUGUAUCAUAUACAACUCUUCUUUAAUAAAUCCAUUAAGGAAUGCAGUUUUGUUUAUCCAUUUGCCAGAUUUCAUAAAAUGCGGCAAUUGCUAACAUGAUUCAGACAGACUUAAGCAUAGAUACGAGUGAGAAAAUCUCAUCGUAGUCAACACCUUGAACUUGUCGAAAACCUUUUGCGACAAUUCUAGCUUUGUAGAUAGUAACACUACUAUCAGCGUCCGUCUUCCUCUUGAAGAUCCAUUUAUUUUCUAUGGCUUGCCGAUCAUCGGGCAAGUCAACCAAAGUCUAUACUUUGUUCUCAUACAUGGAUCCCAUCUCAGAUUUCAUGGCCUCAAGCCAUUUUGCGGAAUCUAGGCUCAUCAUCGCUUCCUCAUAGUUCGCAAGUUCGUCACGGUCUAGUAACAUGACUUCCAGAACAGGAUUACCGUACCACUCUGGUGCGGAUCUCACUCUGGUUUACCUGUGAGAUUCGUUAGUAACUUGAUCUGAAGUUACAUGAUCAUCAUCAUUAGCUUCCUCAAUAAUUGGUGUAGUAGUCACAGGAACAGAUUUCUGUGAUGAACUACUUUCCAAUAAGGGAGAAGGUACAAUUACCUUAUCAAGUUUUUACUUUCCUCCCACUCACUUCUUUCGAGAGAAACUCCUUCUCUAGAAAGUUUUCGAAUUUAGCAACAAAAGUCUUGCCUUCGGAUCUGUGAUAGAAGGUGUAUCCAAUAGUUUCCUUUGGAUAUCCUAUGAAGAUUUACUUCUCCGAUUUGGGUUCGAGCUUAUCAUGUUGAAACUUUUUCACAUAAGCAUCGCAGUCCCAAACUUUAAGAAACGACAACUUUGGUUUCUUGCCAAACCACAGUUCAGAUUGCGUCGUCUCAACGGACUCAGAUGGUGCCCUAUUUAACGUGAAUGUAGCUGUCUCUAAUGCAUAACCCCAAAACGAUAGUGGUAGAUCGGUAAGAGACAUCAUAGAUCGCACCAUAUCUAAUAAAGUACGGUUAUGACGUUCGGACACACCAUUACAUUGUGGUGUUCCAGGUGGCGUGAGUAGUGAAACUAUUUCACAUUAUUUUUAACUGAAGGCCAAACUCGUAACUCAAAUACUCUUCUCUACGAUCAGAUCGUAGAAAUUUUAUUUUCUUGUUACGAUGAUUUUUCACUUCACUCUGAAAUUCUUUGAACUUUUCAAAUGUUUCAGACUUAUGUUUCAUCAAGUAGAUAUACUCAUAUCUUCUCAAAUCAUCUGUGAAGAUCAGAAAAUAAUGAUACUUGUCGCGAGCCUCAAUAUUCAUCGGACCACAUACAUCAGUAUGUAUGAUUUCCAACAAAUCUGUUGCUCGCUCCAUUGUUCCGUAGAACAGAGUCUUAGUCAUCUUGCCCAUGAGGCAUGGUUCGCACGCAUCAACUGAUUCAUAAUCAAGUGAUUCCAAAAGCCCAUCAGCAUGGAGUUUCUUCAUGCGCUUUACACCAAUAUGACCUAAACGGUAGUGCCACAAAUAAGUUGCACUAUCAUUAUUAACUUUGCAUCUCUUGGUUUCAAUAUUAUGAUUAUGUGUAUCACUAUGAUCGAGAUCCAACGAACUAUUUUCAUUGGGUGUGUAACCAUAUAAGGUUUUAUUCAUGUAAACAGAACAACAAUUUAUUCUCUUACUUAAAUGAAUAACCGUAUUACAAUAAACAUGAUCAAAUCAUAUUCAUGCUCAACGCAAACACCAAAUAACACUUAUUCAGGUUCAACACUAAUCCCGAAAGUAUAGGGAGUGUGCGAUGAUGAUCAUAUCAAUCUUGGAACUACUUCCAACACACAUCGUCACUUCACCCUUAACUAGUCUCUAUUUAUUCUGCAACUCCUGUUUCGAGUUACUAAUCUUAGCAACUGAACUUGUAUCAAAUACUGAGGGGUUGCUAUAAACACUAGUAAAGUACACAUCAAUAACAUGUAUAUCAAAUAUACUUAUGUUCACUUUGCCAUCCUUCUUAUCUGCCAAUCACUUGGGGUAGUUCCGCUUCCAGUGACCAGUCCCUUUGCAGUAGAAACACUUAGUCUCAGGCUUAGGACCAGACUUGGGCUUCUUCACUUGAGCAGCAACUUGCUUGCUGUUCUUCUUGAAGUUCCCCUUCUUCCCUCUGCCCUUUUCUUGAAACUAGUGGUCUUGUCUACCAUCAACACUUGAUGUUUUUCUCGAUUUCUACCUUCGUCAAUUUCCGCAUUACGAAGAGCUUGGGAAUCGUUUCUGUUAUCCCUUGCAUAUCAUGGUUCAUCACAAAGUUCUACUAACUUGGUGAUGGUGACUAGAGAAUUAUGUCAAUCACUAUCUUAUCUGGAAGAUUAACUCCCACUUGAUUCAAGCGAUUGUUGUACUCAGACAAUCUGGGCACAUGCUCACUAGUUGAGCGAUUCUCCUCCAUCUUUUAGCUAUAGAACUUGUUGGAGACUUUCAUAUCUCUCAACUCGGGUAUUUGCUUGAAAUAUUAACUUCAACUCCUGGAACAUCUCAUAUGCUCCAUGAUGUUCAAAACGUCUUUGAAGUCCUGAUUCUAAGCCAUUAAGCAUGGUGCACUAAACUAUCAAGUAGUCAUCAUAUUGAGCUAGCCAAACGUUCAUAACAUCUGCAUCUGCUCUUGCAAUAGGUCCGUCACCUAGCGGUGCAUCAAGGAGAUAAUUCUUCUGUGCAGCAAUGAGGAUAAACCUCAGAUCACAGAUGCAAUCCGCAUCAUUGCUACUAACAUCUUUCAACACAAUUUUCUCUAGGAACAUAUCAAAAUAAACAUAUGAAAGCAACAACGCGAGCUAUUGAUCUACAACAUAAUUUGCAAAAUACUACCAGGACUAAGUUCAUGAUAAAUUUAAGUUCAAUUAAUCAAAUUACUUGAAGAACUCCCACUUAGAUAGACAUCCCUCUAAUCCUCUAAGUGAUCACGUGAUCCAAAUCAACUAAACCAUAACCGAUCAUCACGUGAAAUGGAGUAGUUUUCAAUGGUGAACAUCGUUAUGUUGAUCAUAUCUACUAUAUGAUUCACGCUCGACCUUUCGGUCUUCGUGUUCCGAGGCCAUAUCUGUAUAUGCUUAGCUCGUCAAGUAUAACCUGAGUAUUCCGCGUGUGCAACUGUUUUGCACCCGUUGUAUUUGAACGUAGAACCUAUCACACCCGAUCAUCAUGUGGUGUCUCAGCACGAAGAACUUUCGCAACGGUGCAUACUCAGGGAGAACACUUCUUGAUAAUUUAGUGAGAGAUCAUCUUAUAAUGCUACCGUCAAUCAAAGCAAGAUAAGAUGCAUAAAAGGAUAAACAUCACAUGCAAUCAAUAUAAGUGAUAUGAUAUGGCCAUCAUCAUCUUGUGCUUGUGAUCUCCAUCUCCGAAGCACCGUCGUGAUCACCAUCGUCACCGGCGUGACACCUUGAUCUCCAUCGUAGCAUCAUUGUCGUCUCGCCAAGCUUGUGCUUCCACGACUAUCACUACCGCUUAGUAAUAAAGUAAAACAUUACAUCGCGAUUUCAUUGCAUACAAUAAAACGACAACCAUAAGGCUCCUGCCAGUUGCCGAUAACUCAGUUACAAAACAUGAUCAUCUCAUACAAUAAAAUUCAGCAUCAUGUCUUGACCAUAUCACAUCAUAACAUGCCCUGCAAAAACAAGUUAGACGUCCUCUACUUUGUUGUUGCAAGUUUUACGUGGCUGCUACGGGCUUAAGCAAGAACCAAUCUCACCUACGCAUCAAAACCACAACGAUAGUUUGUCAAAUAGACUCCGUUUUAACCUUCGCAAGGACCGGGCGUAGCCAUACUUGGUUCAACUAAAGUUGGAGAGACAGUCGCCCGCAAGCCACCUAUGUGCAAAGCACGUCGGGGGAACCGGUCUUGUGUAAGCGUACGCGUAAUGUUGGUCCGGGUCGUCUCGUCCAACAAUGCCGCCGAACCAAAGUAUGACAUGCUGGUAGGCAGUAUGACUUAUAUCGCCCACAACUCACUUGUGUUCUACUCGUGCAUAUAACAUCAACAUAAAUAACCUAGGCUCAGAUGCCACUGUUGGGUUUCGUAGUAAUUUCAAAAAAUUUCCUACGCACACGCAAGAUCAUGUGAUGCAUAGCAACGAGAGGGGAGAAUGUUGUCUACGUACCCACGUAGACCGACUGCAGAAGCGUUGACACAACGUAGAGGAAGUAGUCGUACGUCUUCACGAUCCAACCGAUCAAGCACCGAAACUACCGCACCUCUGAGUUCGAGCACACGUUCAGCUCGAUGACGAUCCCCGGACUCCGAUCCAGAAAAGUGUCGGGGAAGAGUUCCGUCAGCACGACGGCGUGGUGACGAUCUUGAUGUACUACAGCAGCAGGGCUUCACCUAAACUCCGCUAUAGUAUUAUUGAGGACUAUGGUGGCUGGGGGCACCGCACACGGCUAAGGAAUAGAUCACGUGGAUCAACUUGUGUUUCUUGAUCUGUCUUUGGUGCUAGCCCUGCCCCUCUAUUUAUAUCUUGAGCCCUGGGGUCGAAACUUGGAGUUAAAGCCUUCACAAAGUCGGUUUCACCCGAUAGGCAAGAGUCCUUCUCGGACUCCAGGGCCAGACGCCAGGGAUCUCGGCGUCUGGACCCAGACGCCAGGGACCCUGGCGUCUGGCCCCUGGACUCCGCAAAACAUCCUUUUGCGCUUUCCAAAAACCUUGUGGGCUUUCCCCUUUGGCCCAAAUAAAGUGUUCUCGUACCCAAACAUUUCGAGAAACAUCCGGAACCCCUUCCGGUGAUUUCCGGAACCCUUCCGGUGACCAAACACUAUUAUCAUAUAUAUCAAACUUUAUCUCCGGACCAUUCCGGAGUUCCUCGUCAUGUCCGUGAUCUCAUCUCGGACUCCGAACAACAUUCGGUACAUCAAAAUGCAUAAAACUCAUAACAACUGUCAUCGUAACUUUAAGCGUGCGGACCCUACGGGUUCGAGAACAAUGUAGACAUGACCGAGACACGUCUCCGGUCAAUAACCAAUAGUGGGACCUGGAUGCCCAUAUUGGCUCCUACAUAUUCUACAAAGAUCUUUAUCGGUCAGACCGCAUAACAACAUACGUUGUUCCCUUUGUCACCGGUAUGUUACUUGCCCGAGAUUCGAUCGUCGGUAUCCAAUACCUAGUUCAAUCUCGUUACCGACAAGUCUCUUUACUCGUUCCGUAAUACAUCAUCUCACAACUAACAUAUUAGUUGUAAUGCUUGCAAGGCUUAUGUGAUGUGCAUUACCGAGAGGGCCCAGAGAUACCUCUCCAACAAUCGGAGUGACAAAUCCUAAUCUCGAAAUAUGCCAACCCAACAUCUACCUUUGGAGACACCUGUAAUGCUCCUUUAUAAUCACCCAUUUAUGUUGUGACGUUUGGUAGCACCCAAAGUGUUCCUCCAGUAAACGGGAGUUGCAUAAUCUCAUAGUUAUAGGAACAUGUAUAAGUCAUGAAGAAAGCAAUAGCAACAUACUAAAUGAUCGGGUGCUAAGCUAAUGGAAUGGGUCAUGUCAAUCAGAUCAUUCUCUUAAUGAUGUGAUCCCGUUAAUCAAAUAACAACUCAUUGUUCAUGGUUAGGAAACAUAACCAUCUUUGAUUAACGAGCUAGUCAAGUAGAGGCAUACUAGUGACACUUUGUUUGUCUAUGUAUUCACACAUGUAUUAUGUUUCCGGUUAAUACAAUUCUAGCAUGAAUAAUAAAUAUUUAUCAUGAUUAUAAGGAAAUAAAUAAUAACUUUAUUAUUGCCUCUAGGGCAUAUUUCCUUCAAGAUGAACUAAUCAUAUUUACAAAAAUAAAAUAGGUCGAGUUCGUACCAGCUUUUCUCCAUCUCAAUCAUUUCAUCAUAUAUCAUCAUUGCCGGAAUUUUGUCUAUUUUGGGCUUAGUCCAAUAGCAUUUCAGAAAUUCCUAAUAAAUCCUAGAGGCCCACGCAACCCAUUCGUGCAAGGCAAGAGGUGGAACUAAAGUUUAGUCCCACAUUGCUAGUUUAGUGGGAGUUGGACCUCCUUAUAAGGGAGGUUCUUUCCCCACUUGUAUGAGCAUGAGAACAAGAGGGAUAUCCACGCGCGCUCCUCCUCCGCCGCCCGCCACGCCACGCCACACCACGCCUCAUCACGACACGCCGCGGGUUGCGGGAAUGAGCCGAGCCGAUGUCUAAUUUUUUGCCACGCACUACGGGUAUACAAAAGGUCACUCAGGAGCUGGAAAGUUUUUGUUGUACUGUAUAUUGAAUACGAACGCUGCACCACUCGGCUGCUGUCUAUUCAUUUCGUCUCCCAUGUUCCCUUCAGCUCCCGGCGCAGCCUCUUGCCUCCUUCUCUUGCGCCUAUAAAAGGGAGGUCGCUCCUCUCAGAGAGACGCACCAGAACUUCUCCUUCCUAUCGCCACCAGUUCCAAUCUCUGAGCUGUUGUUGUCUUCCUCAUCCCGUCUUGCGGCAUGAACCGCGAGUCGGGACAGUAGGCCUUCGAAACCGCACCUCUUUGUGUCAUGUAUGGGAGAAGGGUGAUAAGGUUUUUGGGGAGCGCUUAGCGCGACUACUGACUUCUUCAUCACGGAUGCCUCGGACUCCGACGACUACUUCCCCGACGUCGACAACCUCCUCGACGACAUGGCUGGCAAGGACAUCGACCCCAAGUCUAGUACUACUGCUGCUGCUGUCACGUAUGUGUUCUUCUUCUUCUUCUUCUUCUUUCUUUUAGAUGUCCUGCCACAAUUUCUCAUACUAUUACUUGCCCUAGAUGUGUUAGGUUCUACUCCAUAUAUGCAACUAGCUCUAUUGUCUGCUCUAGAUAUGCUAGGCUACAGUUCAUAUAUGCAGAUGUUUUUUACCUUCUCUCUGUCAGAAUGCAUGACUUGUUUUAUCUCUACUAUAUUAGUCAUGCUUUAUCUAGUAUUUCUGUUAAUAAAAUCAUUUGGUAAAUUGCUCAUAUUUCCAACAAUCCAAAAACCUUAUUAUAGGAAAUUUACCCCAAGUGGUUUUGCUGCUUCCAUGAGAGCUCCUAUGUUUGAGGGUAUCCACUAUAAGAGGUGGCGCGUGAGAGCAGUCUUAUGGUUUCAAACCAUGAGUUUCUAUGACGCCACGCUUGGCAAUCCUGAAGGGGAGUUUGAUGCCCAACAGGAACAAGCUUUUCAAAAAAUGGAUACUUUGUUUAAGGCUGCUCUCUUGAGUGUUCUUGGUGAGAACAUAGUUGAUGCUUAUGCAUCAAUUGACAAUGGAAAAGAUAUGUGGGACGCACUCGAGGCCAAGUUUGGGGUCUCGGAUGCCGACACUGAGCUGUACAUCAUGGAGCAAUUCUAUGAUUACAGGAUGAAUGAAGAGCGCUCCGUGGUUGAGCAAGCUCAUGAGAUACAAUCAUUUGCUAGAGAACUUGAGCACUUCAACUGUAUGCUACCGGACAAGUUUGUUGCCGGAGGUAUCAUCACCAAGCUUCCUCCUUCAUGGAGGAACUUUGCUACCUUACUGAAGCAUAAGAGACAGGAGUUUUCCGUUCCGGAUCUCAUUGGUACUCUUGAUGUCGAAGAAAAAGUGAGAGCAAAGGACGCACGUGCUCGAGGUAUUGAGGGAGGAUCUAGUGCCAAUCUGGUACAGAAGAAGAACUUCCAGCCCCACAAGUUCAAGAACAAGGGCAAGCUUGAUGGUAAAGCAAAAAUUGAUGGGAAGAACAAGGCUGUGCAACACACGAACUUCAAGAAGAAGAAUGACGAGAAGAAAGGUGUUUGUCAUGUGUGUGGGGGUCCUGAUCAUUGGGCUCCUAGUUGCGCUAAUCGCUAUGACAAGCGUCAUCCUGGGAAAGGCGGCAAGACUGCUAAUGUUGUCAUUGGAGACAUUGACAUGAAGGAUGCUAGGUAUGGUAUAUUUCCCACUAUUCUUUCAAUAUGUCAUUCUCUUGAUUGGUUGAUUGACACGGGUGCUAAUGUGCAUGUAUGCGGUGAUAUUUCCAUGUUUUCAUCUUAUCAGACCGCAGGGACUUCAACGUGCUGAUGGGCAACGGUUCAAGUGCUUCUGUUCGUGGUGUUGGCACGGUCGAUCUAAAGUUUACUUCGGGUAAGAUCGUGCGGCUGAAGAGCAUGCAUUAUGUCCCCUCCGUCAAUAAAAAUCUUGUUAGCGGAUCUCUUCUGUGUAGAGAUGGCUAUAAGCUUGUCUUUGAGUUGAAUAAAUUUCUAAUAUCCAAGUAUGGAACUUUGUUGGUAAAGGCUAUGAGUCUAGAGGUCUGUUUCGUUUAUCCUUAUCAGACGUUUGCAAUAAAGUUGUUAAUCAUGUUUGCAACAAUAGUGAAUCAAAUGUGUGGCAUUCACGUCUUCGUCAUGUUGACUUUCGUUGCAUGUCGCGACUAGUGAAGUUGAACUUAAUCCCUAUUUCACCACUGUCAAGGGAUCUAAGUGUCAAGUUUGUGUGCAAGCUAAGCAACCUCAUAAGUCUCACACGACUGCGGAAACAAGAAAUCGUGCACCACUAGAGCUCAUACAUCCAGAUCUAUGUGAAAUGAAUGGUGUUUUGACAAAAGGUGGAAAGAAAUAUUUCAUGAAGUUAAUUGACGACUCCACUAGAUACUGUCGUGUGUAUCUUCUGAAAUCUAAGGAUGAGGCUUUGGACUUUUUCAAGAUCUAUAAAGCUGAAGUGGAAAACCAACUUGAUCAAAAAAUCAAGAGGCUUAGGUCCGACCGUGGUGGAGAGUAUUUUUCAAAUGAAUUUGAUGCUUUUUGUGUGGAACAUGGUAUAAUCCAUGAGAGGACGCCUCCCUACUCACCUCAGUCAAAUGGGGUGGCCGAAAGAAAGAACCGUACUCUAACUGAUUUGGUUAAUGCCAUGUUAGACACAUCGGGUCUUUCCAAGGCAUGGUGGGGGGGAGGCGAUAUUGACAGCAUGUCUUGUCCUAAACCGAGCCCCCACAAAGAACAAAGAGAUAACUCCAUUCGAGGAAUGGGAGAAGAAAAUGUUAAAUCUCUCUUAUCUACGAACCUAGGGUUGUUUGGCAAAAGUCAAUGUGCCAAUUCCAAAGAAGCACAAGCUUGGACCAAAGACUGUGGAUUGUGUUUUCCUGGGAUAUGCUUUUCAUAGCAUUGGCUAUAGAUUCUUGGUUGUAAAAUCUGAGGUACCUGACAUGCAUGUCGGUACGAUCAUGGAGUCGAAUGAUGCGACUUUCUUUGAAGAUAUCUUUCCCAUGAAGGAUAUGGCUACCUCAUCUAAUCAGGAGAUGCCUAGUUCAUCGAAUCAGGAACCAGUUACAUUUACUGAACCUGCCAUUUCGGUGGAACACUUUGAAAAUCAUGUGGAGGAGAACAAUGAAGUUCCUACUAGGAGCAAGAGACAGAGGACUGCAAAGUCCUUUGGUAAUGAUUUUCUUGUGUAUCUCAUAGAUGAUACUCCCAGUUCUAUUUCAGAGGCCUAUGCAUCUGAAGAUGAUGACUACUGGAAGGAAGCGGUUCGUAGCGAGAUGGAUUCCAUCUUGGCGAAUGAAACUUGGGAGAUAAUUGAUCGUCCUUAUGAGUGCAAACCUAUAGGAUGCAAAUGGGUAUUCAAGAAGAAGCUUAGGCAUGAUGGUACUAUUGAAAAGUACAAGGCUCGGCUCGUGGCUAAGGGUUAUACCCAAAAAUAAGGUGAAGACUUCUUUGAUACUUACUCACAUGUGGCUCGACUGACCACUAUUCGAGUUCUACUUUCACUAGCCGCCUCACAUGGUCUUCUCUUUCAUCAAAUUGAUGUUAAGACUGCUUUCCUAAAUGGAGGGUUGGACAAGGAAAUUUACAUGGAACAACUAGAUGUGUUUGUACUAGAUGGUGAGGAAGGAAAAGUGUGCAAGUUGCUGAAGUCUUUGUAUGGACUCAAGCAAGCACCCAAACAAUGGCAUAAGAAGUUUGAAAGAACUUCAACAGCUGCAGGCUUUGUUGUAAACAAAGCUGACAAAUGUGUGUACUAUCGCCAUGGUGGGGGCGAGGGAGUUAUCCUUUGCUUGUAUGUUGAUGACAUACUGAUUUUUGGAACAAAUAUGAAUGUAAUUAAGGAGGUCAAGGAUUUCCUAUCUCGCUGUUUUGAUACGAAGGAUUUAGGAGUGGCUGAUGUCAUUCUGAACAUCAAGUUGUUGAGAGACGAUGAUGGUGGGAUUACAUUACUUCAAUCUCACUAUGUGGAAAAGAUCUUGAGUCGCUUUGGCUAUAGUGACUGCAAGCCCUCUCCAACACCAUAUGAUGCGAGUGUGUUACUUCGAAAGAAUCAAAGAAUUGCUAGAGAUCAAUUGAAGUAUUCUCAGAUUAUUGGCUCGCUUAUGUACUUAGCCAGUGCUACAAGACCUGACAUCUCUUUUGCUGUUAGCAAACUGAGUCGGUUUGUCUCAAAACCAGGAGAUGUGCAUUGGAAAGCUCUAGAGAGAGUUUUGCAUUAUUUGAAAGACACUGCAAAUUAUGGAAUUCACUACACUGGGCACCCAAAGGUGCUUGAAGGGUAUAGUGAAUCAAAAUGGAUCUCAGAUGCUGAUGAGAUAAAGGCCAUGAGAGGAUAUGUAUUCACUCAUGGAGGUGGCGCUAUUUCUUGGAAGUCUUGCAAGCAGACCAUCUUAACAAGGUCAACAAUGGAAGCAGAACUCACAGCACUAGAUACAACUACGGUCAAAGCAGAUUGGCUUCACCGGCUCUUGAAUGACUUGCCGGUUAUUGAGAAACCUGUAUCGAGUAUCCUUAUGAACUACGCCAAUCAAACUGUGAUCACGAAAGUGAGCAGCUCAAAGGAUAACAUGAAGUCAUCAAGACACGUUCAGAGAAGGUUAAAGUCUGUUAGGAAAAUGAGAAACUCCGGAGUAAUUGCAUUGGAUUAUAUCCAAACGUCUAAAAAUCUGGCAGAUCCUUUUACUAAGGGCCUAUCACGUAAUGUGAUAGAUAAUGCAUCGAGGGAGAUAGGUAUGAGCCCACAAUAUGAGUUGUUCACAAUGGUAACCUAGUCUAUGUGAUCGGAGAUCCCGUGAAUUAGAUGUGGAAGACAAGUUGUUGGUCAACUGAGAGGGGAGUAUCCUUAUUGUUAACAAUACCACUCCAUGAAGAUGCAAUACUCUCCUAAAUCUGCAUGGCAGGUUGAUGUAUAUCUUAAUGUGUUCUAGGUGGCUCAUUUAAGCAGAGAUGUUGUCCUGCAGAACAUCUUUUGAAGAACACACCUAUAUGAGUCCGAUUGUCAAUCGUCGCAAUCUAUGAGAGUAGGGUUCUCUCUAGUAAACUCAUGAAAGGUCACGAAGUAUGACGCAUAAGCUCCACCCGCGGGGAAGACCCAUGGUAGCCUAGUAUCGAUCAAGGCUUUGUGUGAAGCUAGAUUCGCAGAAAACUUGCAGUUCAAGGCCUAGUCCACUGUUCAAGUUGCCUACUAGUGUAGCAUAGAGUUCUAGGUGGAAGUUCAACUUAACAGUCUCCACUGCAAUACCGGUAUAUAAAACAGUGUUUUGGAACCAAAGGCAAAUUUUGUGUGCCUCUGGGAUCUGGUGGGGGAUUGCUGGAAUUUUGUCUAUUUUGGGAUUAGUCCAAUAGUAGUUUCAGAAAUUCCUAAUAAAUCCUAGAGGCCCACGCAGCCCAUUCGUGCAAGGCAAGAGGUGGAACUAAAGUUUAGUCCCACAUUGCUAGUUUAGUGGGAGUUGGACCUCCUUAUAAGGGAGGUUCUUUCCCCACUUGUAUGAGCAUGAGAACAAGAGGGAUAUCCACGCGCGCUCCUCCUCCUCCGCUCGCCUCGCCAUGCCACGCAACGCCUCGUCACGCCGCAGGUUGCGGGAAUGAACCGAGCGAACGAUGCACCCUUCGGCUGCUGUCGGUUCAUUUCGUCUCCCACGUUCCCUUAAGCUCCCGACGCAGCCUCUCGCCUCCUUCUCUUGCGCUAUAAAAGGGAGGUCGCUCCUCUCAGAGAGACGCACUAGAACUUCUCCUUCCUCUCGCCACCGGUUCCAAUCUUUGAGCUGCUGUUGUCUUCCUCAUCCCGGCUUGCGGCGUGCACCAUGAGUCGGGACAGUAGGCCUCCGAAACCGCACCUCUUUGAGUCUUCUAUAGGAGAAGGGUGAUAAGGUUUUUGGGUAGUGCUCAGUGCGACUACUGACUUCUUCAUCACGGACGCCCCGGACUCCGAUGACUACUUCCCCGACGACGACUACUUCCCCGACGUCGACAACCUUCUCGACGACAUGGCUGGCGAGGACAUCGACCCCAAGUCCAGUACUACUACUGCUGCUGUCACGUAUGUGUUCUUCUUCUUUCUUUUAGAUGUCCUGCCACAGCUUCUCGUACUAGUACUUGCCCUAGAUGUGUUAGGUUCUACUCCAUAUAUGCAACUAGCUCUAUUGUCUGCUCUAGAUAUGCUAGGUUACAGUUCACAUAUGCAGAUGUCUUUUACCUUCUCUCUGUCAGAACGCAUGACUUGUUUUAUCUCUACUAUAUUAGUCAUGCUUUAUCUAGUAUUUAUGUUAAUAAAAUCAUUUGGUAAAUUGCUCAUAUUUCCAACAGUCAUUAUUCACUAUUGCAGGAUACUACUAACGCGACACUACGAUCAGAGACCCUUUUGCCGAAACUGUGUGCGAUGCAAUAAUCGCAAAUGGUGGUGUAAAAAAAUGUCAAAAAUGGUGCAAAAUGUUUGCAAUGGCGGAGCCAUCAAACACGGUUCAGAUUUUUGUUGCGUGUGCGAUGUAGGACACACGGUUAAUCUAUUCAAACUUACUGCGAUGAGGAAGAACAACAGAAACGGGCAGCCAUAACAAUGGGUGUGCAAUGCAGGACACACGGUUAAUCCAUUCGAAUUGUUUGCGAUGAGGUGGAACAAUAGAAACGGAAAGCCAUAUCAAUGUGUGUGCGAUAUAUGGCAUACUGUUAACUCGGACGAACUAUUUUUGAUUAGGGAACACAACAGAAAUGGUUCAACUCAACAAGAUGUGUGUGAUAUGCGGCAUACAAUUCACAUGGAUGAACUGUUUGUGAUGAGCCAAAAGAACACAAACAAGUCGUGUAAACAAGAUAUGGGUGAUACGUGGAAAACAGACAACUUGGAUGAACCAUUUGCGAUAAGAAAUUACAACACAUACGGUCAAUGCACUUACUUCAUGUGCGAUUCUGUGUCUACAAAAAACUUUGAAAAAUGCAAACUAGUUGCUUGCGGUGAUGGAGUAUCACACACGAUGCGUCUGUGAGUACUCAUGUGCGAUGAUUAGUAUGUUAGACAUACGUUUCCUUAUGUUAACAUGUGUGUGAAUUUGCAGUAUAGACAGUUAAUAUUCAAAUGCCUUUUGGACACCGGGCACACGCUUAAAGUCAAUGAACUGUGUAUGAUACUAAUACUUUCCAUGACAAUUUAUGAACUCGGGUAACAACAUUUGAGUAACAUAUAUAUAGUGGUUACACUAUUCGACAAAGGCAGGAUCUUCGUAACACAGUUUUGACAACCAUAUGGUCCAUAUCUACAUACUUAACAUAGUAACAACUAUCACAUUUUAAGAGGCUAAGGGCCAAUAACCAUAUGGUCCAUAUCUACACACUUAACAUAUAUAGUAAUAGCUAGCACAUUUUAAGAGGCUGAGAGCCAACAACCACAACUAUCCAUUAGAAGUAGCUUGAUCACAGCAACUCGACAUCUCGUCAAUGAAAAGGAAGAGCCCUCCUGUGCCUUGGUAGAGCAUGAGUAGAACAGUGUCUCCAAUUUUCCAAUAUGGAUGCAUUGCCACUAGAAGCGAGAACUUGUUAAUUUGAAUGGUUCCAUUUCUGCAAGAAAUGCAAUACCUUGCAAUCACUUUGGCGUUAUUAGCAGGCACAAGUGUAAUUCGACCACGCUGGGAAAUCGAUCCAGCAACUGCUAUAGGGGGCAAUUUCUGUUGACACGUAGAAUAAAAACAAUUGUAACAUAUUGUUGAAGAUAUAUAUAGUUUAUGAGCAUCAACAUUAAAAUAAGACUUUUUACCAGCAUUUUGUGCACACAAUUGGUCUUGUUCAUUGUGUGCACCAUAGGUCUAAUUAAUCCCAUCCAAAAUACAACUUUCAUACGAUGUGCUAUCUCUAUCAGAUUAUCAACAAAGUUUAUGACAUGCUUCAAGUCCUUCCAGUGAAAUUUGGUACGCUUAGUAACAUACAGAUCGUUCACUAUGCAUCCAACAUAUCCUGCUUAAAAGGUGGAAAGGUAUUAUUUAUUCAGAACAUGGCAGAAGAAUAUAUAGUGCGCAUAAAUUGGUAAAUAGAAUUUGUUACUGCCUAGGAACAGAGUCAGAAUAUGAUAUCACAAUUGGUUGCUUAAAUAGUGAUCAAUUGGUUGCUUAAACAGUAAUAUGACAGCAUGGAGAAAGUUGAAAGGACACUAACCUCGAUCAGACUUUGAUCGGCUGAUGACAUCGGGGAAGUAAACAUCCAUGUUAAUUAGACCAGGCUGUGGUGCACGCACUAGAAUUUUAUUGCCAGCUUUCAGUUCAUAACACUUAGACAUUUUUCUCCAAAGGUCCGCAUUAAAAUAGGAGUGACCAUCUUUAUCAAGUUUUGCGCUAAUUGUCAUUGUAAAUCCAUGCUGCGUUGUCAAUAUGACAUCCUGGGAGUCAUCAGCAAAGUAAAUCCCAAGAUUUCCUUCUACUCUUGUUCUUGCAAAGCAAGGGAUGUACUGCUUGAAAUGAAAAUUAAGAUAGUAAAUUAGAUAUAUUGAAAUAACAGAGCAAGAUGCAAAUAUGGGAGUGACUGAUAGAACAGAUCCAUAUAUAUAAGAUGAAAGAAAAGUACAAAAAUAUAGAAUUAAAAAUAGAUAAUGUAACAGAGAUUUGAUGCAAAUAUAUAGAUAAUGUAGCAACUGACGGUAUAUGUUCACAAAUUUAGGCCACGCCGACCGUGGUAGGUUGAGAUUGAACAUACCGAGCGCUCCCUGAAGUCAUCCGCAAUGGUGAGAUAGAACUUCAUUUCCGACUGGCCACGACCACAGUUGCCCGAUUUGUGCUCUCACUGUGGACAGAUGAAUGAACACCCACGAAUCAGCUAGAACAAAAAUGAUUCCACGGCGAUUUCCAUCGGUUGAUUAACAGCGACGGACGGACUGCGAUAAGAAAUGAGUGAAUGUUUCGCUAAUUAAGUUGAUUACCUUCUCCAUGAGAAAAAUCCCUGGCCCAAUCCCGCAGAAAACCCCAGUCGACCAGAGUCUAGAAUGUCGGUGCAGAUAGGCGACGGAAAUUGGCAGGGGCGAAAUUCGGUGCCGUUUAGAGCGCGACCUACGCCCGCCGCCAACAGCCGUCGAGCUUAGGGUGCGGAGUUGCGGAGGAGUCUGCGGCGAGUGAGUAGGGAAGAAGUAGGCGAGGGUUUUCUUUUUCCUUUUGCAUGUGUGAGUGAACACACACGGUUCGCAGAGGCGACGGAGAUGAAUCGUGUGCGAUAGUAAAUCACCGAGAUUGAAUGGGAAUCCAAAUUUCCUUUGUCCUUCAUCCAUGUGUUUUUUUCUACGAUGAACAUAAACCCUGCUAAUCACCAUGUUCAAAUUUGACACUUUUCCGAGUUCAUUUACAAUAUUUAGGGGAUUAUGUGCAUUUUGUAGGCACUAAUGCACAUAAUUCGAAUUCAAACAAUCGGUGCAUGAAAGGGUGCACAAGAACGGUCUGGAAAAACCAUACUCGCGGUAUUUAGUAAUUUCUCAAGCCUUUUACAAGGAAUGGGCAGAGAUUUUAAUGAAAUGCGUGGCAAUAGUCAACCAUAAACGCGUCAUUUACUGGGUUAUCAACUAUAGAACAAUGAAAUAUAUGCUUGAAAAACAUGACGGCUGGCAUGGUGCCAUGGUAUGGCCUCACCGUGCCCUGGUUAAAAGCUGAGAAGGUUUGAUUUAUGUCGUCAUGUACGCCCUUCAUAAAUCGAACCAUCACCGAGGAAUUUCAAUGCUUUCGAGAGGGAAAUCACCAAGAUUGAAGGGGAAUCCAAAUUGCUGUCCUAGUUUGUCAUUCAAUUUUUUUUCCAACGAUCAACAUACCGCCUCAAAUGCAACGUGUUCAAAUUUGACAUUUUUCUGAACUCAUUUACCAUAUUUAGGGGAUUAUGUGCAUUUUCUAGGCAUUAAUUAUGCACAUAAUUCAAAUUCGAACAAUUGGUGCAUGAAAAGGUGCAAAAGAAUGGUCUGCAAAACCAUGCUCGUGCUAUUUAGUACAUUCUCAUGCCUUUUACAAGGAAUGGGCAGAUAUUUCAAGGAAAUGUGUGGCAAUAGUCAACCAUAAAAACAUCGUUUACUGGGUUAACAAGUAUACAAAAAUGAAAUACAUGUUUGGAAAACAUGACACCUGGUGUGGUGCCAUGGUAUGACCUCAGCGUGCCAUGGUAAAAAUGUCGUCAUGCAUGCCUUUCAUAAAACAAACUAUCACCGAGGAAGUUUCAUGGUUUCGAGGGGGAAAUCAGCAAGAUUGAAGGGGGAUCCAAAUUUCCUUUGUCCUUUGUCCACGAGUUUUUUUUCUAUGAUGAACAUACAACCUGCAAAUCACCGUGUUCAAAUUUGGCACUUUUCUGGGUUCAUUUGCCAUAUUUAGGGGAUUAUGUGCAUUUCCUAGGCAUUAAUGUACAUAAUUCAAGUUCAAACAAUUUGUGCAUGAAAGGGUCCACAAGAACGGCCUGGAAAACCAUGCUCGUGCCAUUUAGUAAAUUCUCAUGCCUUUUACAAGGAAUAAUGGACAGAUAUUUCAAUGAAAUGUGUGGCAAUAGUCAACCAUAAAUGUUUGUUUGUUGGGUUUUCAACUAUAGAGAAAUGAAAUAAAUGCUUAAAAAACAGGACGCCUGGCAUGGUGCCAUGGUAUGACCUCACCAUGCCAUGGUAAAAAUUUGAGAAGGUUUGGCUUAUGUCGUCAUGCACGCCCUUCAUAAAUCGAACCAUCACCGAGGAAGUUCCAUGCUUUCGAGAGGGAAAUCCCCAAGAUUGAAGCGGAAUCCAAAUUUCCGUCCUAGUUUGUCAUUCAAUUUUUUUCCAAUGAGCAACAUAACGCCUCAAAUGCAACAUGUUCAAAUUUGACAUUUUCCCGGGCUCAUUUACCAUAUUUAGGGGAUUAUGUGCAUUUUCUAGGCAUUAAUGGACAUAAUUCGAAUUCGAACAAUCGGUGCAUGAAAAGGUGCACAAGAAUGGUCUGGAAAACCAUGCUCGUGUUAUUUAGUACAUUCUCAUGCCUUUUACAAGGAAUGGACAGAUAUUUCAAGGAAAUGUGUGGCAAUAGUCAACCAUAAACGCGUCCUUUACUCGGUUAACAACUAUACAAAAAAUGAAACACAUGGUUGGAAAACAUGAUGCCUGGCGUGGUGCCAUGGUAUGGCCUCACCAUGCCCUGGUAAAAUUUGGAGAAUGUUUUCCUUAUAUAGUGAUGCACGCCUUUCAUAGAUCGAACAAUCACCGAGGAAGGUUCAUGGUUUAAUGUGGCGUCCGAAUGUCGUAACCGUACUUUAUUAGAUAUGGUGCGAUCUAUGAUGUCUCUUACCGAUUUACCACUAUCGUUUUGGGUUAUGCUUUAGAGACGACUGCAUUCACCUUAAAUAGGGCACCAUCUAAUUCCAUUGAGACAGCACCAUAUGAACUGUUGUUUGGUAGGAAACUUAAGCUGUCGUUUCUCAAAGUUUGGGGCUGCGAUGCUUAUGUGAAAAAGCUUCAACCUGAAAGCUUGAACCUAAAUAAGAGAAAUGUGUCUUCAUAGGAUAAUCUUCUUUUGCGGUGUGUUUGUCGAGAUCCGAUGAAUUGUGGGUUUAUGAUCCAGAUUAUCUAUGAACAAUAUUUGAUUCUUCUCUGAAUUCUUUUAUGUAUGAUUAGUUUAUCUUUUCAAGUCUCUUUGAAUUAUCAGUUUGGUUUGGCCUACUAGAUUGAUCUUCUUGCAAUGGGAGAAGUGCUUAGUUUUGGGUUCAAUCUUGCGGUGCUCGAUCCCAGUGACAGUAGGGGAAACGACACGUACUGUAUUAUUGCCAUCGAGGAUAAAAAGAUGGGUUUUAUAUCAUAUUGCAUGAGUUUAUCCCUCUACAUCAUGUCAUCUUUCUUAAGGCGUUACUCUGUUCUUAUGAACUUAAUACUCUAGAUGCAUGCUGGAUAGUGGUCGAUGUGUGAAGUAAUAGUAGUAGAUGCAGAAUCGUUUCGGUCUACUUGUCGCGGACAUGAUGCCUAUAUACAUGAUCAUGCCUAGAUAUUCUCAUAAUUAUUCGCUUGUCUAUCAAUUGCUCGACAGUAAUUUUUUUACCCACCGUAUUUGAAGUUUUGUCAAUUGCCCAACAGUAAUUUGUUC